RNAcentral lists this ribosomal RNA (253 nucleotides) under uncultured bacterium. Its description in RNAcentral is "partial 16S ribosomal RNA". It matches the Rfam family "Bacterial small subunit ribosomal RNA", at positions 524 to 776 of the family's 1533-position model. The record is from RNAcentral.
UACGUAGGGGGCAAGCGUUGUCCGGAUUUAUUGGGCGUAAAGAGCGUGUAGGCGGCCAGGUAGGUCUGCUGUGAAAACUCGAGGCUUAACCUCGAGCUGUCGGCGGAAACCAUCUGGCUAGAGUCCGGAAGAGGAGAAUGGAAUUCCCGGUGUAGCGGUGAAAUUCGUAGAUAUUAGGAAGAACACCAGUGGCGAAGGCGGCUCACUGGUCCGGUACUGACGCUGAGGUGCGAAAGCGUGGGGAGCAAACAGG